Long non-coding RNA from Dendronephthya gigantea, 3413 nucleotides. RefSeq lists it as uncharacterized. The transcript is spliced from 3 exons. The record is from RefSeq and is a predicted model, not a curated record. NCBI's taxonomy places the organism in Eukaryota, Metazoa, Cnidaria, Anthozoa, Malacalcyonacea, Nephtheidae.
UAUUUUGCGGUUUGUUGUCGGAUGUCGAAAAUUUCCAGAAGGAUUAUAAAAUUGUGCGAAAAUUCUUGAAAAUGUUUUCAUGUAAAACUUUGAUAAUAAAACAUAAAAUUUGAAAGAUCUCAACAAAACUAGCUGAUAAAAUGGACGGAAAUAGAUUUAUUACCUCCUUGGCCAAGUUGAGACUUGAGAUCUCAGACAGAUUAUUUGUGAAAAUAGAACAUGGGGUUCACAGUUUCCAAUUCUAUGUGUUAGAAAAACAAGUUCAAAUUCGUUUCUGGUGUGAUCGCCAUAACGCAAGCCGGAUUACCGAUAAGACCUCAUUUUAUGCUGAGAGUGCUCAACUUCAUCCGGUAGUCAAAGUGUCAAACCUUGAGGGACCUUGGGUGAUCACGUGUAAGUUAUAAACUCAUGGGAGGGUGUUUACUUACUAUAUCACCACGCAUUUGGUGAAGAACUCUUAUAGACUCUAGACACCUGAUCAAAUGGGAACAAGAGUUGCAUGAGUGUUGACUGUAUAUUAGUGCCCGGCACGCGUUGAUGUUAAAUAAGCGUGAAUUAGUUCUUGUCAACUCGUAAACGAGAACAAGAGUUGCAUGAGAGUUGACUGGAUAUUACCACACGUAGCAGUCAAACGAGGGAAAACUCUCGUCAACUCUCAUGAUCUGGUCAAACGAGAACAAGAGUUGCAUGAGAGUUGACUGGAUAUUACCACACAUAGCAGUCAAACGAGGGAAAAGUCUCGUCAACUCUCAUGACCUGGUCAAAUGAGAACAAGAGUUGCAUGAGAGUUGACUGGAUAUUACCACAUGUUGCAGUCAAACGAGGGAAAACUCUUGUCAAUUCCUAUGACUUGGUCAAACGAGAACAAGAGUUGCAUGAGAGUUUACUCAUGUUACCAUGCAGGCAUAGCAUUUCCCAUUCACGAGAAAGCCUUCAAAUUAAUCAAAUUAUUUAAUAUACUUUCGCAGAACUAUUUAAAUUCAUCUUGCGAUAUUUAUUCAACUAGCCUAAUAACUGAUUGUUUAUAUAUACUCCCUACCAUGCAUAUCGCAUGGCAUGCAGGUAUUAUAUGCUACACUUGCAAGGUUUCAGGAAAUGCUGCGCUUUAGGUACUUUGCAUGUUGCUAAGCUUUUUCGCCUACCCUGUCUUGAAUAAAAUUCGUAUAUUUGUUCUGCACGCAAAGGUCUCGCUAUAUUGAAAGAAAAUGUUUCAAGUCUUGUAAGAAUGAUACAAAAUAUAAUAAUAUACGAUUCAUGAAAGUUCAGUGAAAUUAUGAAACGCGGAAAGGGCAACAUGAACAAAGAUUGGUUGCCAUUGUAACAUAGUUAUCCGCUAAAAAAUGCCUCAAAUCUCACAGAAAUCAUGCAUGCCAAAUAUCACAACCACAAUUGUCAAUUGCAUGGUGAAAAAAUAUAUACUUAGGAAAUUCAUUUUGAAUGCCAAAGUUUCGCACUUAUGUAUCUAUAAUAGUAAACAGAAUGUAUUUAUAGGAAUCACUUUUCAAGAUAAUCGCGUCACAGCAGCGUGCGUGCACGCAUAUAUCAGCGUCAUAGAAAAACAAAUGUGUCUUAGAAGGACAGCUAGGGCUGUUUUCAACUUACGCGUUUUUAAUACGCACGUACACGCACGUAAAAGUCUAUAAAUCCUUAUACAUGUUACCUUUGAAAAAAACUAAGUGAAUAAAUCGAAGGAACUUAGUUUUCUGCAUAUUUUAGUAUGCAUUAGUAGACCUAGAUGUUAUUAAAUAAUAGAAAUUUAAAAGCAUUUAAAAUUUUCCAUGAUUGCAUUUCAGGAGUGUUUUCUAGACCACAUGCACUGAUUCAAAGCAAUUCUUUUGGUUCUUUCAAUCUUUCUCCAAAUUUUUUUAUUUUUUGAAGCAAAUUUUUAUAAAUGAACGUUCCAGAGGAAUCGCAUCUUUGUAUGCAAACGCCAUACAUCAGCAAUAUAUAUAAAUGAUAAUCUUUUAUGUAAUUAUAUUAUUAAAAUACUCUGCUUUAGGUCGGACGUUGCUAUGACAGACACAGUAUACUUGUUCAAUAUUCCUGCAUCAGACCAUGCAUGCACAGAUACGUUGAGCUAGCUAUUUCCAACAAUGAUUUUCCCCGCGAAAUCCUUUAAGAGCUUAAAAAUCAUGGUAAAAACUCCUAUAUUCCUACCUCAAAACUAUAUCGAAAUUCAACACUUAUCAGCCUAAUUGAUUAUUCUAAGACUAAGUACCGCGCCAAACCAAACUGGCAAUUUGACACAUCCAUGAUUAAUGGUCCUUUUCAUAGCCCAGGGUCGACAUGGUCAUGGAAAUAUGCGAUAUUCCCAAUGAGUUUUUAACAAACAGAAUUCGCUUAUAUUUCCACAAUAUGGCACGAAGGUCAUGUCACUCAAAAGGGAAAACCCUGAUCUAUCUCAAUAUCAAAACCGAGUUGUUGUCAAUUGAUCAAGUAAUUUGAUAACAACAGCGUGCUGAAGGUGGGUCACCUAGUUUUCAGCAAAAAUUGCAAACAAAACCUGCUUAUACUGGUAAAAUACCUGGUAACCAUAAUCCCAAACCUUGGGGUAAGAUCCUAGAAUAACUAUCUGGACAUUCAGUGCAGUUUUAGCUUGAAAGAUCGUUAAAAAUCAAGUCCAUUUCCUGGCGAAGGAAAUUCUGAAAGGACAUUUAAUAAAUACAUGUAUUAAGAAAGCUCUUUUGUCUCAAGUAUUUAUUAAUAAAUGAGCUGAAAGAUUGAUCAAAUCAUUCUCACGAACGCGACAGUCGCUAGCGAUAAACACAACCAUGCACUAGUGAAAAUAAAGCAACUUCACUCGCACAUUGUUGAACAAAUGGCGACUAAUUUUUUAGCAAAUAAUUUUUUAGUCAGGUAUAUUGGAACUCUGCUGAUAAAAAAGAUAGUUCUUCCUGUCGUUCGCGCGUCAGAGAUUUGAUGAGGUGGGUGUGGUGUUAUUUAGGCAUCAGCCCCUUGUCGCGAAGCAAUUGAAUACGUCACAAAACGUAAACGUAUUUAAAAUAUGUUUUACUACAGUACACAUGAAAGCCAUUCCUGUGCCUUCUACAAUGUGUUAUGAGGUAUGUAAACCUGUUGUAAAAAAUCACUAGUUUAUCAGAGUAGGAAGGUGUUCAACCCUCAAAGAUUGAAACAGGGGCUACACCAACCGACUCCCCGCCUUCCAAUAACACUCUUGGUAGACAUGCAGAAGCAUAGAUCACUAUAAAUGUCCCGCCACUAGUGGUAAUGACUAGUUUCCUGGGCCAAUCGUUAUUUGUAACAAAUAAGGUUAAGUAUAUCGAUGUCUCGUGUCUGGAAAACUCUGUAAAUCACAUUUUCUAAACACCAUACGAAUAAUACGCCGGUUGUUCGAAAGGCGUUCAAGCUUAAACAAUGCAUGGAUAAGUUCAAAAUGGAUAACAAAAUUAUCU